GAUGAACGCUGGCGGCGUGCCUAAUACAUGCAAGUCGAGCGAACAGACGAGGAGCUUGCUCCUCUGACGUUAGCGGCGGACGGGUGAGUAACACGUGGAUAACCUACCUAUAAGACUGGGAUAACUUCGGGAAACCGGAGCUAAUACCGGAUAAUAUAUUGAACCGCAUGGUUCAAUAGUGAAAGACGGUUUUGCUGUCUCUUCUAGAUGGAUCCGCGCCGCAUUAGCUAGUUGGUAAGGUAACGGCUUACCAAGGCGACGAUGCGUAGCCGACCUGAGAGGGUGAUCGGCCACACUGGAACUGAGACACGGUCCAGACUCCUACGGGAGGCAGCAGUAGGGAAUCUUCCGCAAUGGGCGAAAGCCUGACGGAGCAACGCCGCGUGAGUGAUGAAGGUCUUCGGAUCGUAAAACUCUGUUAUUAGGGAAGAACAAAUGUGUAAGUAACUAUGCACGUCUUGACGGUACCUAAUCAGAAAGCCACGGCUAACUACGUG
Molecule: ribosomal RNA, 497 nt
Filed under: uncultured bacterium
Lineage: Bacteria
Description: partial 16S ribosomal RNA
Rfam family: Bacterial small subunit ribosomal RNA
Source: RNAcentral